Molecule: long non-coding RNA, 224 nt
Organism: Eubalaena glacialis (North Atlantic right whale)
Lineage: Eukaryota; Metazoa; Chordata; Mammalia; Artiodactyla; Balaenidae
Exons: 3
Source: RefSeq, a predicted model, not a curated record
AGCUCUGUCUGUACAGAUAUCUGCUGCUUCUGAAGAGCAACAGAAAAUGAGCAAGUCUCAGGGAUUUGUUUCAUUCAAAGAUGUGACUGUGGACUUUACUCAGGAGGAGUGGAAGCAGCUGGACUCUGCUCAAAGAAACCUGUACAAGGAUGUGAUGCUGGAGAACUAUAGCAACCUUGUUUCAGUGGUGAACUUGGAUGGAAAGAAAAUGGGUACUGCAUCCU